GAUGAAGAACGCAGCGAAAUGCGAUAAGUAAUGUGAAUUACAGAAUUCAGUGAAUCAUCGAAUCUUUGAACGCACCUUGCGCUCCUUGGCAUUCCGAGGAGCAUGCCUGUUUGAGUGUCAUUAAAUUCUCAAGACCUGUCUGCUUUUUUGAUAGGUAUUGGAUUUUGGGGGUUGCAGGCUGUUUCAAAUAAAUAGCCUUGCUCUCCUUGAAUGUAUUAGUGGAGAAAAGCCAUUGAACUCCAUUGGUGUGAUAAAACCUAUCAAUGCCAGGAGCAAUAUCACUACUUCUCUCUGCUGUCUAACUGUGACUGUCUGUAUUAAUUAGUAUGGAUGGGGACAACUUGACCAACUUGACCUCAAAUCAGGUAGGACUACCCGCUGAACUUAAGCAUAUCAAUAAGCGGAGGA
Molecule: unclassified non-coding RNA, 408 nt
Filed under: soil metagenome
Description: partial contains 5.8S ribosomal RNA, internal transcribed spacer 2, and large subunit ribosomal RNA
Rfam family: 5.8S ribosomal RNA (bases 1-120)
Source: RNAcentral